This 253-nucleotide ribosomal RNA is filed under the name uncultured bacterium. Its description in RNAcentral is "partial 16S ribosomal RNA". It matches the Rfam family "Bacterial small subunit ribosomal RNA", at positions 524 to 776 of the family's 1533-position model. The record is from RNAcentral.
UACGUAGGUGGCAAGCGUUGUCCGGAUUUACUGGGCGUAAAGAGCGCGCAGGCGGUCGUUCAAGUCGCGUGUGAAAGCCCUUGGCUCAACUGAGGAAGUGCAUCCGAAACUGGCAGGCUAGAGUACUAAAGAGGAUCGCGGAAUUCCCGGUGUAGAGGUGAAAUUCGUAGAUAUCGGGAGGAACACCGGUGGCGAAGGCGGCGAUCUGGGUAGAUACUGACGCUGAGGUGCGAAAGCGUGGGGAGCAAACAGG